UUGGGGGAAAUCAAUGUAUCACCUACACUUUGAAAAUGUAACCCACAUAAAAUGAUGAGACAUACAUUGAUUUCACCCAA
RNAcentral lists this microRNA precursor (80 nucleotides) under Medicago truncatula (barrel medic). RNAcentral describes it as "MIR5269 microRNA precursor family". It matches the Rfam family "MIR5269 microRNA precursor family". Lineage: Eukaryota; Viridiplantae; Streptophyta; Magnoliopsida; Fabales; Fabaceae. The record is from Rfam by way of RNAcentral.